RNAcentral lists this ribosomal RNA (468 nucleotides) under uncultured bacterium. Its description in RNAcentral is "partial 16S ribosomal RNA". It matches the Rfam family "Bacterial small subunit ribosomal RNA", at positions 28 to 507 of the family's 1533-position model. The record is from RNAcentral.
GACGAACGCUGGCGGCGUGCUUAACACAUGCAAGUCGAACGGAAAGGCCCUGCUUUUGUGGGGUGCUCGAGUGGCGAACGGGUGAGUAACACGUGAGUAACCUGCCCUUGACUUUGGGAUAACUUCAGGAAACUGGGGCUAAUACCGGAUAGGAGCUCCUGCUGCAUGGUGGGGGUUGGAAAGUUUCGGCGGUUGGGGAUGGACUCGCGGCUUAUCAGCUUGUUGGUGGGGUAGUGGCUUACCAAGGCUUUGACGGGUAGCCGGCCUGAGAGGGUGACCGGCCACAUUGGGAAUGAGAUACGGCCCAGACUCCUAAGGGAGGCAGCAGUGGGGAAUAUUGCAAAAUGGGCGGAAGCCUGAUGCAGCAACGCCGCGUGCGGGAUGACGGCCUUCGGGUUGUAAACCGCUUUCGCCUGUGACGAAGCGUGAGUGACGGUAAUGGGUAAAGAAGCACCGGCUAACUACGUG